UUGUCAGAUAGUUGGCAAAAUAGUUGC
Molecule: small RNA, 27 nt
Filed under: Bombyx mori (domestic silkworm)
Lineage: Eukaryota; Metazoa; Arthropoda; Insecta; Lepidoptera; Bombycidae
Description: ovarian small RNA-38094
Source: RNAcentral